UAGGCCUGUACAACCAGCCAGCCAGCCAUAGGCCUGUACAACUAGCCAGCCAGCCAUAGGCCUGUACAACUAGCCAGCCAGCCAUAGGCCUGUACAACCAGCCAGCCAGCCAUAGGCCUGUACAACCAGCCAGCCAGCCAUAGGCCUGUACAACUAGCCAGCCAGCCAUAGGCCUGUACAACCAGCCAGCCAGCCAUAGGCCUGUACAACCAGCCAGCCAGCCCUAGGCCUGUACAACCAGCCAGCCAGCCAUAGGCCUGUACAACCAGCCAGCCAGCCAUAGGCCUGUACAACUAGCCAGCCAGCCAUAGGCCUGUACAACCAGCCAGCCAGCCAUAGGCCUGUACAACCAGCCAGCCAGCCAUAGGCCUGUACAACCAGCCAGCCAGCCAUAGGCCUGUACAACCAGCCAGCCAGCCAUAGGCCUGUACAACCAGCCAGCCAGCCAUAGGCCUGUACAACCAGCCAGCCAGCCAUAGGCCUGUACAACCAGCCAGCCAGCCAUAGGCUUGUACAACUAGCCAGCCAGCCAUAGGCCUGUACAACUAGCCAGCCAGCCAUAGGCCUGUACAACUAGCCAGCCAGCCAUAGGCCUGUACAACUAGCCAGCCAGCCAUAGGCCUGUACAACCAGCCAGCCAGCCAUAGGCCUGUACAACCAGCCAGCCAGCCAUAGGCCUGUACAACUAGCCAGCCAGCCAUAGGCCUGUACAACCAGCCAGCCAGCCAUAGGCCUGUACAACUAGCCAGCCAGCCAUAGGCCUGUACAACCAGCCAGCCAGCCAUAGGCCUGUACAACUAGCCAGCCAGCCAUAGGCCUGUACAACUAGCCAGCCAGCCAGCCGGCCAGCCAUAGGCCUGUACAACCAGCCAGCCAGCCAGCAAUAAGUAGCUGUCACACCUUCUGCCUUGUAGGAUGUUGUUAACACUGUGAGGUCAGGGCCUUGUAGGAUGUUGUUAACACUGUGAGGUCAGGGCCUUGUAGGAUGUUGUUAACACUGUGAGGUCAGGGCCUUGUAGGAUGUUGUUAACACUGUGAGGUCAGGGCCUUGUAGGAUGUUGUUAACACUGUGAGGUCAGGGCCUUGUAGGAUGUUGUUAACACUGUGAGGUCAGGGCCUUGUAGGAUGUUGUUAACACUGUGAGGUCAGGGCCUUGUAGGAUGUUGUUAACACUGUGAGGUCAGGGCCUUGUAGGAUGUUGUUAACACUGUGAGGUCAGGGCCUUGUAGGAUGUUGUUAACACUGUGAGGUCAGGGCCUUGUAGGAUGUUGUUAACACUGUGAGGUCAGGUCCUUGUAGGAUGUUGUUAACACUGUGAGGUCAGGGCCUUGUAGGAUGUUGUUAACACUGUGAGGUCAGGUCCUUGUAGGAUGUUGUUAACACUGUGAGGUCAGGUCCUUGUAGGAGGUUGUUAACACUGUGAGGUCAGGGCCUUGUAGGAUGUUGUUAACACUGUGAGGUCAGGGCCUUGUAGGAUGUUGUUAACACUGUCAGGGGAUUUAAACCCUUGUCUUCUCAUCCCAGAACAAAGACACAAGCCCCAGAGAGAGAGAGAGA
Oncorhynchus keta (chum salmon) is the source of this 1557-nucleotide long non-coding RNA. RefSeq lists it as uncharacterized. The transcript has 4 exons. The record is from RefSeq and is a predicted model, not a curated record. NCBI's taxonomy places the organism in Eukaryota, Metazoa, Chordata, Actinopteri, Salmoniformes, Salmonidae.